UACAGAGGGUGCAAGCGUUGUUCGGAAUCAUUGGGCGUAAAGCGCACGUAGGCGGCCUAUCAAGUCGGGUGUGAAAGCCUGGGGCUCAACCCCAGAAGUGCAUUCGAAACUGGUAGGCUUGAGUGUCGGAGAGGGUGGUGGAAUUCCGAGUGUAGAGGUGAAAUUCGUAGAUAUUCGGAGGAACACCAGUGGCGAAGGCGACCACCUGGACGAACACUGACGCUGAGGUGCGAAAGCGUGGGGAGCAAACAGG
Molecule: ribosomal RNA, 253 nt
Filed under: uncultured bacterium
Lineage: Bacteria
Description: partial 16S ribosomal RNA
Rfam family: Bacterial small subunit ribosomal RNA
Source: RNAcentral